This 1257-nucleotide long non-coding RNA is filed under the name Gopherus agassizii (Agassiz's desert tortoise). RNAcentral describes it as "lncRNA (ENSGAGG00000013046.1)". The record is from RNAcentral. Lineage: Eukaryota; Metazoa; Chordata; Testudines; Testudinidae.
GUUUCCUAGCACUGGCCAGGGCAGAGAGAGAUGCCCAGGUUGGGGCAUGAGGUGGUUUUCUGGCACUGGCUGGAGUAGGGGGCAAUGACUGGGCUAGGCCAGGCCAGGAGGUGGUUUCGUGGCGCUGACCGGGGUCGAGGCCGAUGACAGAGGUAACGGCGGGCCCGGACGUGUUUUUAGCCGGCACCAUUACCCCUGCGUUCAGAGCGCCCCGCAACCCGACCAGUCACAACCCUUCCCAUGCUCCGCCCCCUCCCUUCCCCCUAGCAGAGUCUAUGGAUUAAACGAGGGGCGCAGGACUCGCGCGAGGCCGUGGGUGACGGGAGGGGCAGCGAGAGAAGGAGCGGCGCCAAUAGGGAUCAGCAGCCGCGGCUCGCGCUCACCAUACUGUGCUGCGACCGUUGGGGUUGCGGUGGAACUGGUCGGGGGGUGGAAAGACCAGUAAGACGCGCGCCCAAUAGGGAGCGGCAGCUGAGUUGCGCGCGGGCCCAGGAUGGGGGAGGAAGGAGGGAGAAGCGCGGCCAAUUGAAUCGGCGCGCGCUGGGCCCGGAGGGGAGGGAGCUGCGCGGCCAGUAGAGAGCAGUGGUUGGCGCACGCGCAGAAGGCAGGAAGUCGGGGGGAUGAGCGAUAGGCAGGGGGUAGAAGCGCAGGCCCAGCCCCUUCCCCGCCGCAGUGAGUACUGACUCUGGCGGCCAUGUUGUGCGGGGGGAGGGGAGGAAGGAGUUGAGAGAAGACGGGAGAGACAGACUCUGCCUCACACACACCGCACAAGAUGGCCGGGGAGGCAGCCGCAACGGGGCUCUCAGGUGGUUCGGCCGCCGCUCGGUUCGCCGGAGUCGGGGAGGCACCCGGGCACCGGCCUCGCGGGCCACUUCGGGCCCGGCACUCAGGGGUUCCGGGCAGCCGGAGAGCGGCGAGCCGAGCUCCGUACGGGGCUGCGAACAGGCGGAGGGCGAUGGCGCCGGGCUCCGAAACUCUCGGCGCCUCGAGCUCCGUGGGCGGGUGGCGAGCCGGCCGCCGCCGCAGGCAGGGUGAGGAGGGGAACGGCUCUCCCUACCCCGGCCCGCCGCCGGUCUCCGCAUUACUGAUAGAACUCCAUAAAUGUUUACCUACUUGAUGGCUGACUGGCGUCCAGGCGGAUUGUAGAGACCUAAUUUUUUUAGGAUUGUACCUGGGUACUUUUUCUUUGCUGCAGAGGCUGAUCUAUUAAACCUGGAAUAUAAGGAAACGUUCAAAAUUCUGUAGUGUUCAUAUCAG